AUCCUUUUGUGGUUCAUAACCACAUGAAAAUUGGGGUUUUGUGAGAUAUACCUCUCUCAAACCUUGUUACUAUGUUGGCACAUUAUGCAUGUGGCC
Molecule: small nucleolar RNA, 96 nt
Organism: Otolemur garnettii (small-eared galago)
Lineage: Eukaryota; Metazoa; Chordata; Mammalia; Primates; Galagidae
Source: Ensembl